Molecule: long non-coding RNA, 1176 nt
Organism: Anguilla rostrata (American eel)
Lineage: Eukaryota; Metazoa; Chordata; Actinopteri; Anguilliformes; Anguillidae
Exons: 2
Source: RefSeq, a predicted model, not a curated record
UAAAAGCAAAAGCCAUCAUGCACCGCGGCUCCCCAGGACCUGGGUUGCCCACCCCUGGCUUAGGCCUAUACAAAUCACACUGUAGGCUACGUUAAAGCUGAAUUAGGCUACCAAAACUGAUGAAAAAUCACGGAAAGCAAUUAAAUACUAAAAACGGAGGAAAUCGUGGAGAUGAAAAAAAAAAUAAAAAUCACGGAAUCCGUGACACCCAUGAAUUCCUUGCCAAACACCCAGCCGUAGCCAGACGCUAACCAAACUUGUUUGAAUCGUGAUGUAGGCUACUUCAUGCACGACUUCCAAGGUACGCCCUGCAACACGCGUGACACACAACGUGUCCUAAUUCUGUCACGGAUGAACAGUCGCUGAAAUGUGAAAUGGCCGCCGCCGAAUCCGUCGACCCUUCGGACAUCUUGAAGAGGGGGGCGACAGCCGAGCCAACAGGUUUCCCGUUGAAUCGAAGGGGCGCGGUGCCUGCUUGCUUCCUUUGAACGAUGCCGUCAGACUUGACCCGUCUGAGAGAAUUCAUGCAGCGCCCAGUUUGUUUUACUGUUGUCGGACGCUUAACCCCUUUAAGGCAUGAAUCAUCUUCUUUAAAAAAAAAAAAAAACAAAGAAAUAAAUAUAUGAAUCUCAAAUCUCUAAAGACGGUCUUGUUGCGACAAACUCAGGGUUUUAUUUGGUAUCUGACACACAUGCGUGCCUUGGAACGAGCAGCAUUUGUAACAGACCUCUCUACAUCGGAUUCCUCAUGGUCGUCAUCCAAGCCCCAAACAUACAAAAGUAAACAUUUGUUGAGGCUUAGAUUUCUUCUUGGAAUAAAUCGGCCAUUUGAUUUGCUGUAAUCCGUUUCAUCCAAUUGUUUGUCUUGUCUUUUUUUUUAUUUUAGAGUUUUUCCAUUUUUGCUGGCUUCAGUGUAGAUUAUCAUUUAUUUGUGGGCUUUGCUGCAUAUUUAUGCCAGUUCCUUCAUGCGGUCAUUGACAUCUACUGUUAUCUGGGGAUAUUAUUUUGUUCUGGGGUCAUUUGGAGAAUGUUCAUGCCUGAUGUUGAGGAGUUGGAGAUGGAUGAAGUGAGAGAGUGUGUAAAGUUGUCUGAGCCUUCUGGGCGACUCGGCUUGUGGCCAGGUUCGGUUCUCGUUCUGCCAGUUAGAUUUUUAAUAAAGCAGGAAUAUUGAGCAGUU